UUCAUGGAGAGUUUGAUCCUGGCUCAGGACGAACGCUGGCGGCGUGCCUAAUACAUGCAAGUCGAGCGAAUCAAUAGGAGCUUGCUCCUGUUGGUUAGCGGCGGACGGGUGAGUAACACGUGGGCAACCUGCCUGUAAGACUGGGAUAACAACGGGAAACCGGUGCUAAUACCGGAUAAUCCUUUUUCUCUCAUGAGGAAAAGCUGAAAGUCGGUUUCGGCUGACACUUACAGAUGGGCCCGCGGCGCAUUAGCUAGUUGG
RNAcentral lists this ribosomal RNA (261 nucleotides) under Bacillus sp. ISL-18. Its description in RNAcentral is "partial 16S ribosomal RNA". It matches the Rfam family "Bacterial small subunit ribosomal RNA", at positions 1 to 252 of the family's 1533-position model. Lineage: Bacteria; Bacillati; Bacillota; Bacilli; Caryophanales; Bacillaceae. The record is from RNAcentral.